RNAcentral lists this ribosomal RNA (154 nucleotides) under Cephaloziella hampeana. RNAcentral's name for it is "5.8S ribosomal RNA". It matches the Rfam family "5.8S ribosomal RNA". Rfam says of the family: 5.8S ribosomal RNA (5.8S rRNA) is a component of the large subunit of the eukaryotic ribosome. It is transcribed by RNA polymerase I as part of the 45S precursor that also contains 18S and 28S rRNA. Lineage: Eukaryota; Viridiplantae; Streptophyta; Jungermanniopsida; Jungermanniales; Cephaloziellaceae. The record is from RNAcentral.
CGACUCUCAGCAACGGAUAUCUCGGCUCUUGCAACGAUGAAGAACGCAGCGAAAUGCGAUACCUGGUGUGAAUUGCAGAAUUCCGCGAAUCAUCGAGUUUUUGAACGCAAGUUGCGCCCGAGGCUUGUCCCGAGGGCAUGCCUGCCUGAGCGUC